AGGAUAAUAUCAUAGUUAGCAGGAUAAUAACGUGGUCAGCAGCAGGAUAAUAACGUGGUCACCCGCAUACCUGGUGGCACUGAGGGUGCCACCUUUUUACUAAUAAUAAUCUGACUGCAAUAGUAUCAAGACCAAAGUAGGAUAUAACAUGGCUAAUUCUUGCUGCCCCCCUCGUCAUGACCAAUUUAAGACUGUUCUACAUUUUGAAUUUGUGUAUAUUUAUGCUAU
Pelobates cultripes (western spadefoot toad) is the source of this 228-nucleotide non-coding RNA. NCBI's taxonomy places the organism in Eukaryota, Metazoa, Chordata, Amphibia, Anura, Pelobatidae. The record is from the annotation of a GenBank genome assembly.